Molecule: transfer RNA, 60 nt
Filed under: Meghimatium bilineatum
Lineage: Eukaryota; Metazoa; Mollusca; Gastropoda; Stylommatophora; Philomycidae
Description: tRNA-Cys
Source: RNAcentral
UUUCUAUUACUUUAAAAAAAAGAGUGAAUUGCAAAUUCAACAUUAGUUUUCUAUAGAAUU